CUAGUCUUACCCAAACGCUGUCUAACGAGUGUGCGCGAUCUAGCACUCUCGAGUGGCCAAACGCCAGCCGUCCAUCACGCGACAUGAUCCUGCCACGUGGUGGACAGAUCCGACACGGGAGGGGGAGAGAGCGGUGGCGUUUUGUCGUGUUUUACGUUUCCAACCGGCCUGUCGUCUCGCACGCAUUCGCCCCCUCCUCUCCUCACACCCACCUCCUCAGCAGCAGGUCGAGAGAAAUCCCUAGGUCGUCGGCGACCGCAGCCGGCGAGAGAACAAACGGCGGCGAAAAAUCACGGGGGCAGCCCGCACAGGCGAGGAGGUCGACCACAUCGCUCCGCGCGGAGGCGAAGCACCACCAGUUUCGAUUGAGAGGGCGACCGCGCGGCCAGUGAAGGGGAGGGAGAAGGUACAGGCGGACAAAUCGGCGACGCGAAGACGACGAGGGCGCGGCGAGCUGCUUCAUCCCCGUCGGGAAGAGAGUACGCAACAGAAAUAGUGAAAACUAGCCAAGCACAACUUUCCCACCAUCCCUGGCAUGGCAGUUUUUAAGAUGGAGGACUCCCCAGAUCAAUACGAUGGCAAGCUACUGACUACACAUUUUUUUGGUUUUCUUUAUUUUUUUCACAACAUUAUUACAUGCCUUAGGUAGAGAAUCAGGCAAAAAACCCUGCAAACUAGAUCAGCACGGAAUUUAUUCAGAACCCGUCCUAUUCAGAAUUAGGCAAUCUCACACGUUUUUAAA
Molecule: non-coding RNA, 742 nt
Organism: Aegilops tauschii subsp. strangulata
Lineage: Eukaryota; Viridiplantae; Streptophyta; Magnoliopsida; Poales; Poaceae
Source: RefSeq, a predicted model, not a curated record